RNAcentral lists this ribosomal RNA (468 nucleotides) under uncultured bacterium. Its description in RNAcentral is "partial 16S ribosomal RNA". It matches the Rfam family "Bacterial small subunit ribosomal RNA", at positions 28 to 507 of the family's 1533-position model. The record is from RNAcentral.
GACGAACGCUGGCGGCGUGCUUAACACAUGCAAGUCGAACGGAAAGGCCCUGCUUUUGUGGGGUGCUCUAGUGUCUAACUUGUGAGUAACACGUGAGUAACCUGCCCUUGACUUUGGGAUAACUUCAUGAAACUGGGGCUACUACCGGAUAGGAGCUCCUUCUCCUUGGUGGGGUUUGGAAAGUUUCGGCGGUUGGGGAUGGACUCGCGGCUUAUCAGCUUGUUGGUGGGGUAGUGGCUUACCAAGGCUUUGACGGGUAGCCGGCCUGAGAGGGUGACCGGACACAUUGGGACUGAGAUACGGCCCAGACUCAUACGGGAGGCAGGAGUGGGGAAUAUUGCACAAUGGGCGGAAGCCUGAUGCAGCAACGCCGCGUGCGGGAUGACGGCAUGAGGGUUGUAAACCGCUGUCGCCUGUGACGAAGAGAGAGUGACGGUAAUGGGUAAAGAAGCACCGGCUAAAUACGUG